RNAcentral lists this ribosomal RNA (256 nucleotides) under uncultured bacterium. RNAcentral describes it as "partial 16S ribosomal RNA". It matches the Rfam family "Bacterial small subunit ribosomal RNA", at positions 524 to 776 of the family's 1533-position model. The record is from RNAcentral.
GACGAACCGUGCGAACGUUAUUCGGAUUCACUGGGCUUAAAGGGCGCGUAGGCGGACUCGCCAGUCCGGGGUGAAAUCUUUCGGCUUAACCGGAAAAGUGCCUUGGAUACUGCGAGCCUUGAGGAAGGUAGGGGCAUGUGGAACUUCCGGUGGAGCGGUGAAAUGCGUUGAUCUACAGAGGAACACCAAAAAAGGCGAAGGCAGUCAACUAUUCUGUUCCUGACAUUGAGGCAUGAAAGCGUGGGGAGCAAACCGG